UGGAGGAAAGCAGGGGAUCGCAAGACCUUGCGCUAAAGGAGCGGCCGAUGUCUGAUUAGCUAGUUGGUGGGGUAAAGGCUUACCAAGGCAACGAUCAGUAGUUGGUCUGAGAGGACGGCCAACCACACUGGGACUGAGACACGGCCCAGACUCCUACGGGAGGCAGCAGUGGGGAAUUUUGGACAAUGGGCGAAAGCCUGAUCCAGCCAUGCCGCGUGAGUGAAGAAGGCCUUCGGGUUGUAAAGCUCUUUUAGUCGGAAAGAAAGAGUCGCAAUGAAUAAUUGUGAUUUAUGACGGUACCGACAGAAAAAGCACCGGCUAACUACGUGCCAGCAGCCGCGGUAAUACGUAGGGUGCGAGCGUUAAUCGGAAUUACUGGGCGUAAAGGGUGCGCAGGCGGUUUUGCAAGUCAGAUGUGAAAGCCCCGGGCUUAACCUGGGAAUUGCGUUUGAAACUACAAGGCUAGA
This 467-nucleotide ribosomal RNA is filed under the name uncultured Nitrosomonas sp. RNAcentral describes it as "bacterial SSU rRNA". It matches the Rfam family "Bacterial small subunit ribosomal RNA", at positions 197 to 645 of the family's 1533-position model. The record is from RNAcentral. Lineage: Bacteria; Pseudomonadati; Pseudomonadota; Betaproteobacteria; Nitrosomonadales; Nitrosomonadaceae.